This 122-nucleotide non-coding RNA is filed under the name Mitsuaria sp. 7. RNAcentral describes it as "Burkholderia RNA 11". It matches the Rfam family "Burkholderia RNA 11". Rfam says of the family: Co-purified with Hfq, expression confirmed by Northern blot. Predicted target marZ. The record is from Rfam by way of RNAcentral. Lineage: Bacteria; Pseudomonadati; Pseudomonadota; Betaproteobacteria; Burkholderiales; Sphaerotilaceae.
GCAACCUGAAGCUGGCGCACGGCCAGCUCGCGGUGUUCCGCUCGCUGCUGGGCAUCUCGUGGAUGUGGUUCUUCGGCGCGGUGUUCCUGGCCAACUUCCCGUCGUUUGCGAAGGAAGUGCUG